RNAcentral lists this transfer RNA (95 nucleotides) under Moniliophthora roreri. It matches the Rfam family "tRNA". Rfam says of the family: Transfer RNA (tRNA) molecules are approximately 80 nucleotides in length. Their secondary structure includes four short double-helical elements and three loops (D, anti-codon, and T loops). The record is from Rfam by way of RNAcentral. Lineage: Eukaryota; Fungi; Basidiomycota; Agaricomycetes; Agaricales; Marasmiaceae.
CCGACCUUAGCUCAGUUGGAAGAGCACAAGACUGUAAUCGGAUAUCUGGGGUGUUAGGAAUCUUGGGGUCGCCUGUUCGAACCAGGCAGGUCGGA